CUUUCUUUGCUGGCGACCGGCGCACGGGUGAGUAACACGUAUCCAACCUGCCCUUUACUCGGGGAUAGCCUUUCGAAAGAAAGAUUAAUACCCGAUAGUAUAAUGAUUCUGCAUGGUUUGAUUAUUAAAGGAUUCCGGUAAAGGAUGGGGAUGCGUUCCAUUAGGUUGUUGGUGAGGUAACGGCUCACCAAGCCUUCGAUGGAUAGGGGUUCUGAGAGGAAGGUCCCCCACAUUGGAACUGAGACACGGUCCAA
This 254-nucleotide ribosomal RNA is filed under the name uncultured bacterium. Its description in RNAcentral is "partial 16S ribosomal RNA". It matches the Rfam family "Bacterial small subunit ribosomal RNA", at positions 79 to 334 of the family's 1533-position model. The record is from RNAcentral.